GACGGAGGAUGCAAGUGUUAUCCGGAAUCACUGGGCGUAAAGCGUCUGUAGGUGGUUUAAAAAGUCCACUGUUAAAGAUUGAAGCUUAACUUCAAAAAUGCCGUGGAAACUUUUAAACUUGAGUAUGAUAGGGGUAGAGGGAAUUUCCAGUGGAGCGGUGAAAGGCGUAGAUAUUGGAAAGACCACCAAUGGCGAAGGCACUCUACUGGGCCAUUACUGACACUGAGAGACGAAAGCUAGGGGAGCAAAUGGG
Molecule: ribosomal RNA, 253 nt
Filed under: uncultured bacterium
Lineage: Bacteria
Description: partial 16S ribosomal RNA
Rfam family: Bacterial small subunit ribosomal RNA
Source: RNAcentral